This 267-nucleotide ribosomal RNA is filed under the name Triticum aestivum (bread wheat). RNAcentral's name for it is "partial small subunit ribosomal RNA". Lineage: Eukaryota; Viridiplantae; Streptophyta; Magnoliopsida; Poales; Poaceae. The record is from RNAcentral.
GUUGGUGAAUUCAAUGAGAUCUUAUUGUCAUCGGAAAAGGAGGGAGGGGCGCCAAGAUAGCAAGCUCGGUUGCAAGCUUUCCAAGAUGCAUUAUCAGAUUGUGAUCUCGAAGACCUGGGAUACAUGGGGGAUAAAUUCACGUGGUUCCGGGGUGGUCUGAAAGAGCGACUUGAUCGAGCUGUGAUGAACGGCGGGUGGAUAAGUAUGCACCCAUAUGCAGGCCUGCGUAAUUUGGAUAUGGGCAAAUCAGACCACAGGCCCAUAAUG